Molecule: long non-coding RNA, 320 nt
Filed under: Junco hyemalis (dark-eyed junco)
Lineage: Eukaryota; Metazoa; Chordata; Aves; Passeriformes; Passerellidae
Description: lncRNA (ENSJHYG00000010213.1)
Source: RNAcentral
GUAUUCUUACUUUUCAGAAUAUUCUUAUGAAACAUUGCUACUUCCACUAACACUGCUCUUUUACCUUUGCUUUUUAGGUGAAGAAGAGUCUGUGACUGGGAAUAAUGCAAAAUAAUUUUACUUUUGAGAGACUCUAAACUCUUCAAACCAUUGUUAUAACAGAUGAUGCUUGGCAUUGCCAAUCAUUCUAUCUUCCUUUUACUUGUUUUCAUGCACAAGUAUUCAGAAGUCCAGUCAAUGCAGAAUGGAGACCAAUAUCUGAGAUGCAGUCCUUGUUUGGAGAGUGAACCUGGGCAUUUCCUGAGGCUCCACGCUGCGAG